RNAcentral lists this ribosomal RNA (377 nucleotides) under uncultured bacterium. Its description in RNAcentral is "bacterial SSU rRNA". It matches the Rfam family "Bacterial small subunit ribosomal RNA", at positions 30 to 416 of the family's 1533-position model. The record is from RNAcentral.
CCUGAACGCUGGCGGCGUGGCUAAGACAUGCAAGUCGUACGGUGUAGCAAUACACAGUGGCGGACGGGUGAGUAAUAUAUCGCUAAUGUACCCCGGAAUCUGGGAUAGCUAUCCGAAAGGGUAGGUAAUACCAGAUGAUAUAACCUGAAGGCAUCUUCGGGUUCUCAAAGGGCAACCGCUCUGGGAGCAGGCGAUAGCGUAUCAGCUAGUUGGUGAGGUAACGGCUCACCAAGGCGACGACGCGUAGCUGGUCUGAGAGGACGGCCAGCCACAUUGGGACUGAGACACUGCCCAGACUCCUACGGGGGGCUGCAGUAACGAAUCUUCCGCAAUGCACGCAAGUGUGACGGAGCGACGCCGCGUGUGGGAUGAAGUCC